Molecule: ribosomal RNA, 161 nt
Filed under: Triticum dicoccoides
Lineage: Eukaryota; Viridiplantae; Streptophyta; Magnoliopsida; Poales; Poaceae
Description: rRNA SSU_rRNA_eukarya
Rfam family: Eukaryotic small subunit ribosomal RNA
Source: RNAcentral
CACUGCCCGUCGCUCCUACCGAUUGAAUGGUCCGGUGAAGUGUUCGGAUCGCGGCGACGGGGGCAGUUCGCCGCCCCCGACGUCACGAGAAGUCCAUUGAACCUUAUCAUUUAGAGGAAGGAGAAGUCAUAACAAGAUUUCCAUCGGUGAACCUGCGGAAG